Gekko japonicus is the source of this 645-nucleotide long non-coding RNA. RefSeq lists it as uncharacterized. Lineage: Eukaryota; Metazoa; Chordata; Lepidosauria; Squamata; Gekkonidae. The transcript is spliced from 3 exons. The record is from RefSeq and is a predicted model, not a curated record.
UGGGACUCUGUAAGUUGUUGCAGCAUCAGGCUCUUCACGCUCUCUCUUUUCCCCGACAGUUAAAGAAAGAAAGAAAAUACUUUGUGUGGAAAUUUCCUGCACGGAUCGUCAGGCUUGGGGAAGGACAGCGAACUUAAUUUUCAGCGGAAUAGCUUUCAAAAGCGCGAAAGACUAUAUAAAGGUGUAUUUAGAGCUCUAAAAUGGUCUGGAAAGGAAUGUCUCAACAAGGAUCUUCUCCCACCCUGGAUCCACAAGAUGAGCAAAGCUGGCUGCUGCUUUAGAUUUUUUACAUUUUUCUGCUGCCUUGGAUCCAACACAGCUGUUCCACUGAUGGUGGUAGUUUUCGCUGGUGAAAACAGGAAGACUCUGUAUGCUGGAAGAAAGUGUCACCAUUAGCAAAAUGGAUCUGCAAGAUCUGUAACCUGAACUCCCAGGCCAGCUGGUAGAUUCUCAAGCACAAAAAUCAUAGGAAUGAUAAAACCCACAAAACAAUCAAAACCCAUACUGAAACAUUAAAAUAUUAGCAAUAUGGGUAAAUGUAUUGCAUACGAUAACACAACACAAGAAACCUGACAAGAUGGGAAAGCUUUUACAACAAUAGAUAGGAAAUUUUGACUCAAAUGUAUAAAAGAAUGAAAAUUUGUA